UGGCUCAGUUGAUAGAGCAUGGUGUUUGCAACGCCAGGGUUGUGGGUUCGAUUCCCAC
Molecule: non-coding RNA, 58 nt
Organism: Salmo salar (Atlantic salmon)
Lineage: Eukaryota; Metazoa; Chordata; Actinopteri; Salmoniformes; Salmonidae
Source: Rfam